Non-coding RNA from Vagococcus fluvialis bH819, 108 nucleotides. The record is from Rfam. Lineage: Bacteria; Bacillati; Bacillota; Bacilli; Lactobacillales; Enterococcaceae.
UUUUCAAAGUUUUUUAUCAGAUUCCUGUUCUGAUAAAAGGUGUUGAGGGAUGGCUCCCAUCAACGUAACGACUCGCAGUGAAUUGACACCGAGGCGAUACGUUUUUUU